Molecule: ribosomal RNA, 1001 nt
Filed under: Limosilactobacillus fermentum
Lineage: Bacteria; Bacillati; Bacillota; Bacilli; Lactobacillales; Lactobacillaceae
Description: bacterial SSU rRNA
Rfam family: Bacterial small subunit ribosomal RNA
Source: RNAcentral
GCACUGAUGAUUUGGUCGCUAACGAGUGGCGGACGGGUGAGUAACACGUAGGUAACCUGCCCAGAAGCGGGGGACAACAUUUGGAAACAGAUGCUAAUACCGCAUAACAACGUUGUUCGCAUGAACAACGCUUAAAAGAUGGCUUCUCGCUAUCACUUCUGGAUGGACUGCGGUGCAUUAGCUUGUUGGUGGGGUAAUGGCCUACCAAGGGCGAUGAUGCAUAGCCGAGUUGAGAGACUGAUCGGCCACAAUGGGACUGAGACACGGCCCAUACUCCUACGGGAGGCAGCAGUAGGGAAUCUUCCACAAUGGGCGCAAGCCUGAUGGAGCAACACCGCGUGAGUGAAGAAGGGUUUCGGCUCGUAAAGCUCUGUUGUUAAAGAAGAACACGUAUGAGAGUAACUGUUCAUACGUUGACGGUAUUUAACCAGAAAGUCACGGCUAACUACGUGCCAGCAGCCGCGGUAAUACGUAGGUGGCAAGCGUUAUCCGGAUUUAUUGGGCGUAAAGAGAGUGCAGGCGGUUUUCUAAGUCUGAUGUGAAAGCCUUCGGCUUAACCGGAGAAGUGCAUCGGAAACUGGAUAACUUGAGUGCAGAAGAGGGUAGUGGAACUCCAUGUGUAGCGGUGGAAUGCGUAGAUAUAUGGAAGAACACCAGUGGCGAAGGCGGCUACCUGGUCUGCAACUGACGCUGAGACUCGAAAGCAUGGGUAGCGAACAGGAUUAGAUACCCUGGUAGUCCAUGCCGUAAACGAUGAGUGCUAGGUGUUGGAGGGUUUCCGCCCUUCAGUGCCGGAGCUAACGCAUUAAGCACUCCGCCUGGGGAGUACGACCGCAAGGUUGAAACUCAAAGGAAUUGACGGGGGCCCGCACAAGCGGUGGAGCAUGUGGUUUAAUUCGAAGCUACGCGAAGAACCUUACCAGGUCUUGACAUCUUGCGCCAACCCUAGAGAUAGGGCGUUUCCUUCGGGAACGCAAUGACAGGUGGUGCAUGGUCGUCGU